RNAcentral lists this ribosomal RNA (465 nucleotides) under uncultured bacterium. RNAcentral's name for it is "partial 16S ribosomal RNA". It matches the Rfam family "Bacterial small subunit ribosomal RNA", at positions 329 to 792 of the family's 1533-position model. The record is from RNAcentral.
CACCAGACUCCUACGGGAGGCAGCAGUGAGGAAUAUUGGUCAAUGGGCGGGAGCCUGAACCAGCCAAGCCGCGUGAGGGAAGAAGGUACAGCGUAUCGUAAACCUCUUUUGUCAGGGAACAAAGGCGGGGACUAGUCCCCGGAUGAGGGUACCUGAAGAAAAAGCAUCGGCUAACUCCGUGCCAGCAGCCGCGGUAAUACGGAGGAUGCGAGCGUUAUCCGGAUUUAUUGGGUUUAAAGGGUGCGCAGGCGGCCUGUUAAGUCAGCGGUAAAGGCCCGGGGCUCAACCCCGGCGAGCCGUCGGAACUGGGGGCCUUGAGUGCGGCGGAGGCAUGCGGAAUGCGCGGUGUAGCGGUGAAAUGCAUAGAUAUCACGCAGAACCCCGAUUGCGAAGGCAGCCUUCCGGCGCCCUACUGACGCUGAGGCACGAAAGUGCGGGGAUCGAACAGGAUUAGAUACCCUAGUA